GUUAUCGUUUAUUUGAUAGUACCUUACUACUUGGAUAACCGUGGUAAUUCUAGAGCUAAUACAUGCUGAAAACCCCAACUUCGGGAGGGGUGUAUUUAUUAGAUAAAAAACCAACGCCCUUCGGGGCUUCUUGGUGAUUCAUGAUAACUUCACGGAUCGCAUGGCCUUGCGCCGGCGACGGUUCAUUCAAAUUUCUGCCCUAUCAACUUUCGAUGGUAAGGUAUUGGCUUACCAUGGUUUCAACGGGUAACGGGGAAUUAGGGUUCGAUUCCGGAGAGGGAGCCUGAGAAACGGCUACCACAUCCAAGGAAGGCAGCAGGCGCGCAAAUUACCCAAUCCCGACACGGGGAGGUAGUGACAAUAAAUACUGAUACAGGGCUCUUUUGGGUCUUGCAAUUGGAAUGAGUACAAUUUAAACCUCUUAACGAGGAACAAUUGGAGGGCAAGUCUGGUGCCAGCAGCCGCGGUAAUUCCAGCUCCAAUAGCGUAUAUUAAAGUUGCUGCAGUUAAAAAGCUCGUAGUUGAAACUUGG
This 532-nucleotide ribosomal RNA is filed under the name uncultured fungus. RNAcentral describes it as "SSU rRNA". It matches the Rfam family "Eukaryotic small subunit ribosomal RNA", at positions 109 to 644 of the family's 1831-position model. Lineage: Eukaryota; Fungi. The record is from RNAcentral.